AACGAACGCUGGCGGCAUGCCUAACACAUGCAAGUCGAACGAGACCUUCGGGUCUAGUGGCGCACGGGUGCGUAACGCGUGGGAACCUGCCCUUAGGUUCGGAAUAACUCCCCGAAAGGGGUGCUAAUACCGGAUAAUGUCUUCGGACCAAAGAUUUAUCGCCUUUGGAUGGGCCCGCGUUGGAUUAGCUAGUUGGUAGGGUAAAAGCCUACAAAAGCGACGAUCCAUAGCUGGUCUGAGAGGAUGAUCAGCCACACUGGGACUGAGACACGGCCCAGACUCCUACGGGAGGCAGCAGUGGGGAAUAUUGGACAAUGGGCGAAAGCCUGAUCCAGCAAUGCCGCGUGAGUGAUGAAGGCCUUAGGGUUGUAAAGCUCUUUUACCCGGGAUGAUAAUGACAGUACCGGGAGAAUAAGCUCCGGCUAACUCCGUG
RNAcentral lists this ribosomal RNA (433 nucleotides) under uncultured bacterium. RNAcentral describes it as "partial 16S ribosomal RNA". It matches the Rfam family "Bacterial small subunit ribosomal RNA", at positions 29 to 507 of the family's 1533-position model. The record is from RNAcentral.